Molecule: small nucleolar RNA, 138 nt
Filed under: Ornithorhynchus anatinus (platypus)
Lineage: Eukaryota; Metazoa; Chordata; Mammalia; Monotremata; Ornithorhynchidae
Source: RNAcentral
CCCGUCUCAGGGUCACACCUGGAGAGUUUCCAGUCCUCUACCAGUUUUGGCUACGGGAGGGAGAGUCAAGCAGAGGCCUACCCAUUCCAUUCCUGGCUUGGGCAGCGGCUAGUGAGUGGAAGGCCAUCUGCUACAAGU